AUGGAAUUAUAUUUCAAAUGUUUGUUUCUUGAAAAACAAACAAACGGACAAUUCUUAAUUUGUUCGUUAUUUUUUAUUUAAAAUACAUUAUUUAUUGAAAAGGGAGUCCAAAAUAGAAUUGUUAUUCAGAAUUUCGACAGCAAUUUUUUUUGGAAAAGGGAAUAAAGCAUGGUUGUGGUCCUUUAAUAUUUUGUUAAGAAAAGUUUACAGUGUUAUAUAUCUGUAUGUUGAAUCCGUACUUUCCGGAACCGUUGUAGUGUCGUAACCAUGAUUGUUGUGAUGAUUACAUGUAUCAGCCUCUUUUCGCGUUUGAAUCCAAAGUAAAAGGAUCAUAAAUUGAAAGCUCUUCCUUUUAUUUACAAUCUAUAUAUUUCAUCUUUAGUCCCCCAAACUUUAGUCAGGUGUAUUACAUGGUGGAGGACCCGGUUGAUUAAGUAAGUAAAAUUAACAGUGUUCUAUGACAAUUAAAAGAUCAUAUUGAUAUAGUUUGUUCACUAAAGUGUCAAACAUACAUAUACCCAAAGGAAAUAGAGGAAACUAAAAAGAUGGACAUGAUGAUCAAAAUUCAAUGAGAAAACUUCUAGCACCUUACACAAGAGACACAUACAAAAGGAAAACACAUGGAAGAUGAAUUCAUACCAAGUACAGCAGAAUAGACCUUAUAGCUAUUCAAAAAUCUGAGUCACUUGACCGGAGAAUCUUUGUCUCUUGUCCUAUGAAGUCGUAUAGCAAUCAUCUUUUCAUUUUAGUGUCCUAUAUUUUCUAUAAUGUUGUCUAAAUUUUACAAUACCUUUGUGGUAUCCAGUAAUGACCGACAAAUGGCGAUAAGGUGUAUUCAAAAUCAAAUAUUUUAAACCCCCAACUCUAAACUUCACCUAACAAAGUAGUUUGAAAAGCCCUGGCAUAGGAAAAAAUAGUUAACAUCUAGAGACAAGUCAUGUUAUGUGUUGACCCUAGGAACCAGGAUCGGGCGGCAGGAACAAUGACUUGGUAUUUAAAAUUAACAUAAUUUGAAUAAAGACCCGUAACUUUGGCAUCAAUGACAUAAUUUUAACAUGUGUUUGCAAAUUAAAUGAAACACUACAUUUACCAACAACAAUGUCUUUCAACAAUAACCCAUCAGAACUUUGGUAGAAAAACUGUGGUGAUUUGUAAAAAAUAAACAGUGUGGUUCUUCCUAAUUUCUUGUCAGUGACCUACAGGUAUAAGGUAGAUAACUGUGGAAAAACCUAGUAAAAUUACAGAAUAACCAUACAUUGUCUCAAAAUAUAAAUUUUAUUUGUACAAGGCUUAGAAACAGGUAGAAAACAAGGCUUUGCAGAGCCUUUCUACCAUUUUGAGCCGAGUACAAAUAAAAUUAAUUAUUCGAAACAAAAUAUUGUUAUUCUUUAUAAACUGCAACUCC
RNAcentral lists this long non-coding RNA (1405 nucleotides) under Mytilus galloprovincialis (Mediterranean mussel). The record is from RNAcentral. Lineage: Eukaryota; Metazoa; Mollusca; Bivalvia; Mytilida; Mytilidae.